CCUACGGGGUGCAGCAGUGGGGAAUAUUGCACAAUGGGGGAAACCCUGAUGCAGCGACGCCGCGUGAGCGAUGAAGUAUUUCGGUACGUAAAGCUCUAUCAGCAGGGAAGAAAAUGACGGUACCUGACUAAGAAGCCCCGGCUAACUACGAGCCAGCAGCCGAGGUAAUACGUAGGGGGCAAGCGUUAUCCGGAUUUACUGGGUGAAAAGGGAGCGUAGACGGCUGUGCAAGCCAGAUGUGAAAGCCCGGGGCUCAACCCCGGGACUGCAUUUGGAACUGGGUGGCUGGAGUGUAGGAGAGGCAGGCGGAAUUCCUAGUGUAGCGGUGAAAUGCGUAGAUAUAAGGAGGAACACCAGUGGCGAAGGCGGCCUGCUGGACGGUGACUGACGUUGAGGCUCGAAAGCGUGGGGAGCAAACAGGAUUAGAUACCCUAGUAGUC
This 440-nucleotide ribosomal RNA is filed under the name uncultured bacterium. RNAcentral describes it as "partial 16S ribosomal RNA". It matches the Rfam family "Bacterial small subunit ribosomal RNA", at positions 338 to 795 of the family's 1533-position model. The record is from RNAcentral.